Molecule: non-coding RNA, 940 nt
Organism: Peromyscus maniculatus bairdii (prairie deer mouse)
Lineage: Eukaryota; Metazoa; Chordata; Mammalia; Rodentia; Cricetidae
Source: RefSeq, a predicted model, not a curated record
CAUGACAUUAGUAAUUACUUCCCAAAGCUCCGCCUUUGAUCACAUUGGGGAUUGUGGGAAUCAACAAAUGAUUUCAGGGAGACCUGGCCUGCAGGGCAGUGGAGCGCUUUUCCAGCUCACCUAACCGCACACCAUCUGAGAGGCAAGUGCUGGUACCAUCCUCCAUGGCAGAGGGAACUAGAAGCAGCCCAGUGGACCAUAGGGAGGCUGGAGUCCCAAGUCGAAGUGGGCAGCGGCGGCUAUAUGGAACUACCCAGCCUGUCUGAGGAAGAUCCUGGCCCAAGUCCAGGAGCUAAGCCAGGCAGCCCCUACUCACAGGAGGACGCCAGGACAUCUGAGGAUGCCCAGAGCUCUCCCCUCACAGUCAAGACUGGCCUAGCAGCCCUAUGGGAUGAGCUUAGGGGCAAUUGUGGCACCAUUUCACAGACUGAGACACUGAGACCCAGAGGCACGAAUGUACCAGUCAGUCUACACACUGUGGACACACACCCCUGUUUUUGUUAGAGUUUAAAAACUCCUGGUCAAGAGACUAGAAUGUCUGGCCUAGGUGGAAACCUACCAUUCCAGUGGGGCCAAGUCACUCACUCAGCCAAGGGACCAGCCCUGGGAAGGAGGGCUCACCUUAAGCUGUGCUAAAGAGAUGGGCGGAAUAAAUAGCCCUUUAACGAGAUACUGUACUUUUCCUCCCAGAAUCCCAGCCUCCAGUGUAGUAGCUUAGGGCUAAGUCUGCCCAUUUUUCUGAAUUAUUCAGAGAAGUGUAACUUUGCCUCUUCUCCUUUCCGCCUCCUUUCUAAGCAUUUCUCUUCAGGCUUUCCUUCCAGCGCUUUGGACUCCCCACUCUUUUCCUAAAGUUCCACUUCCCACCGUGGGGCUGCUUAUCUGCCACACAUCUGACAUCCAGGCCAGCUUAAGUGACAUGACCCUUUCCCUUCUCUCCUCC